UGGGGAUUAUUGGACAAUGGGCGAAAGCAUGAUCCAGCCAUGCUGCGUGUGUGAAGAAGGUAUUCGGUUUGUAAAGCAUUUUAAGGAGGGAGGAGGGGCAGUAAGCGAAUACCUUGCUGUUUUGACGUUACCGACAGAAUAAGCACCGGCUAACUCUGUGCCAGCAGCCGUGGUAAUACAGAGGGUGCAACCGUUAAUCGGAAUUUCUGGGCGUAAAGCGAGCGUAGGUGGUUCGUUAAGUUGAAUGUGAAAGCCCCGGGCUCAACCUGGGAACUGCAUCCAUAACUGGCGAGCUAGAGUAGGGCAGAGGGUGGUGGAAUUUCCUGUGUAGCAGUGAAAUGCGUCGAUAUAGGAAGGGACACCAGUGACGAAGGCGACCACCUGAGCUCAUACUGACACUGAGGUGCGAAAGCGUGGGGAGCAAACAGG
RNAcentral lists this ribosomal RNA (429 nucleotides) under Pseudomonadota bacterium. RNAcentral's name for it is "Proteobacteria bacterium partial 16S ribosomal RNA". It matches the Rfam family "Bacterial small subunit ribosomal RNA", at positions 355 to 776 of the family's 1533-position model. Lineage: Bacteria; Pseudomonadati; Pseudomonadota. The record is from RNAcentral.